UUGAUUUUUAAAGAUGUGCUGGCACUCCUUCACCGGUUUGCAUGUGCACUCUGCAAAAUCUCCUUCUCUUACCCCACUGUGCACACCCAAGUAGACAAACAGAGUUACAGAGCAAUCUGUGUAAUUCCUGAUUUGCCUAUGUUUUUAUCAAACACCAAUAACAAUAUCAGAAUGAUCUAUAUAGUAAGCUUUUAACAAGCUGAAAUUUAAUA
RNAcentral lists this unclassified non-coding RNA (212 nucleotides) under uncultured Clavaria. Its description in RNAcentral is "sequence contains ITS1". Lineage: Eukaryota; Fungi; Basidiomycota; Agaricomycetes; Agaricales; Clavariaceae. The record is from RNAcentral.